AAUGCUUGUUUUGGUAGAUUAUAUACUAGAAUAGGAACCAUGCAGAGAUUAGCGUGACCCUUGCUAAGGAUGACACACAGAUUUGUGAAGCAUUCCCUACUUUU
This is a small nuclear RNA of Panthera leo (lion), 104 nucleotides long. The record is from Ensembl. NCBI's taxonomy places the organism in Eukaryota, Metazoa, Chordata, Mammalia, Carnivora, Felidae.